CCUACGGGAGGCAGCAGUGGGGAAUAUUGGACAAUGGGCGAAAGCCUGAUCCAGCCAUGCCGCGUGUGUGAAGAAGGCCUUCGGGUUGUAAAGCACUUUCAGUGGGGAAGAAAGCCUUGGGGCUAAUACCCUCGAGGAAGGACAUCACCCACAGAAGAAGCACCGGCUAACUCCGUGCCAGCAGCCGCGGUAAUACGGAGGGUGCGAGCGUUAAUCGGAAUUACUGGGCGGAAAGCGCGCGUAGGCGGUCUGAUAAGCCGGUUGUGAAAGCCCCGGGCUCAACCUGGGAACGGCAUCCGGAACUGUCAGGCUAGAGUGCAGGAGAGGAAGGUAGAAUUCCCGGUGUAGCGAUGAAAUGCGUAGAGAUCGGGAGGAAUACCAGUGGCGAAGGCGGCCUUCUGGACUGACACUGACGCUGAGGUGCGAAAGCGUGGGUAGCAAACAGGAUUAGAUACCCCAGUAGUC
RNAcentral lists this ribosomal RNA (465 nucleotides) under Vreelandella stevensii. RNAcentral describes it as "partial 16S ribosomal RNA". It matches the Rfam family "Bacterial small subunit ribosomal RNA", at positions 338 to 795 of the family's 1533-position model. Lineage: Bacteria; Pseudomonadati; Pseudomonadota; Gammaproteobacteria; Oceanospirillales; Halomonadaceae. The record is from RNAcentral.